UACGUAGGGUGCGAGCGUUUAAUCGGAAUUACUGGGCGUAAAGCGUGCGCAGGCGGCGCGUUUAAGACAGGUGUGAAAGCCCCGAGCUUAACUUGGGAAUUGCGCUUGUGACUGGCGAGCUGGAGUGUGGCAGAGGGAGGUGGAAUUCCACGUGUAGCAGUGAAAUGCGUAGAGAUGUGGAGGAACACCGAUGGCGAAGGCAGCCCCCCUGGGCUAACACUGACGCUCAUGCACGAAAGCGUGGGGAGCAAACAGG
Molecule: ribosomal RNA, 256 nt
Filed under: uncultured bacterium
Lineage: Bacteria
Description: partial 16S ribosomal RNA
Rfam family: Bacterial small subunit ribosomal RNA
Source: RNAcentral